GAUGAACGCUAGCGGCAGGCUUAAUACAUGCAAGUCGAGCGGUAACAGGUGUAGCAAUACAUGCUGACGAGCGGCAGACGGGUGAGGAACACGUACGCAACUUUCCUCAAACCGGGGCAC
RNAcentral lists this ribosomal RNA (120 nucleotides) under uncultured bacterium. Its description in RNAcentral is "partial 16S ribosomal RNA". It matches the Rfam family "Bacterial small subunit ribosomal RNA", at positions 28 to 144 of the family's 1533-position model. The record is from RNAcentral.